GUGCCAUGAUGAAGGCAUUUGGGCAACAACUCCUUAAAUCACUCCCAUUACUCAUAUAAAGAUUCUUCAUCAAGUUGCUGAAAUGAAGUAGUCUCAUUGCGGAGCUU
Small nucleolar RNA from Humulus lupulus (European hop), 107 nucleotides. Lineage: Eukaryota; Viridiplantae; Streptophyta; Magnoliopsida; Rosales; Cannabaceae. The record is from RefSeq and is a predicted model, not a curated record.